This 73-nucleotide transfer RNA is filed under the name Ictidomys tridecemlineatus (thirteen-lined ground squirrel). RNAcentral describes it as "Spermophilus tridecemlineatus (thirteen-lined ground squirrel) tRNA". It matches the Rfam family "tRNA". From Rfam's summary of the family: Transfer RNA (tRNA) molecules are approximately 80 nucleotides in length. Their secondary structure includes four short double-helical elements and three loops (D, anti-codon, and T loops). The record is from Rfam by way of RNAcentral. Lineage: Eukaryota; Metazoa; Chordata; Mammalia; Rodentia; Sciuridae.
GGGGAUAUAGCUCAGUUGGUAGAGUGCUUGCCUCCCAUACACAGGGCCCUGGGUUCAAUCCCCAGUAUAUAUA